This 938-nucleotide ribosomal RNA is filed under the name Aquabacterium sp. WST3-6. RNAcentral describes it as "bacterial SSU rRNA". It matches the Rfam family "Bacterial small subunit ribosomal RNA", at positions 65 to 1002 of the family's 1533-position model. The record is from RNAcentral. Lineage: Bacteria; Pseudomonadati; Pseudomonadota; Betaproteobacteria; Burkholderiales; Sphaerotilaceae.
AAUGGAUACUAGUCUUCGGAUGCUGACGAGUGGCGAACGGGUGAGUAAUGCAUCGGAACGUGCCCAGUAGUGGGGGAUAGCCCGGCGAAAGCCGGAUUAAUACCGCAUACGACCUGAGGGUGAAAGGGGGGGAUCGCAGGACCUCUCGCUAUUGGAGCGGCCGAUGUCGGAUUAGCUAGUUGGUGGGGUAAAGGCCUACCAAGGCAACGAUCUGUAGUUGGUCUGAGAGGACGACCAGCCACACUGGGACUGAGACACGGCCCAGACUCCUACGGGAGGCAGCAGUGGGGAAUUUUGGACAAUGGGCGCAAGCCUGAUCCACCAAUGCCGCGUGCAGGAAGAAGGCCUUCGGGUUGUAAACUGCUUUUGUCAGGGAAGAAAUCUUCUGGGUUAAUACCUCGGGAGGAUGACGGUACCUGAAGAAUAAACACCGGCUAACUACGUGCGGGCCGCCGCGGUAAUACGGAGGGUGCGAGCGUUAAUCGGAAUUACUGGGCGUAAAGCGUGCGCAGGCGGCUUUGCGGGACAGAGGUUGAUCCGGGGGCUCAACCUGGGAACUGAAUUUGUGACUGCCGGGCCCCAGUACGGCCGACGGGGAUGGAAUUCCGCCUUGUGGCACUGAAAUGCCUACAUAUGCUUAGGAACAAAAAUGGCCACAUCCAUCCCCUGGCCCUGUACUGACGGGGAUGCGGGAAAGCGUGGGGAGCAGACAGGAUUAGAUACCCUGAUAUGCCACGCCCUAGACGAUGUCAACUGAUUGUUGGACGGCUUGAUGUUCAGGGACGAAGCUCACGCUUGAAGUUGACCGGGUGGCGAGUAAUCCCCAGGUUGAACCUCAAACGACUUGAGGGGGGCACCGCACAUGCUGUGCAUGAUGUCGUUUACUGUCAAUGCAUCCAAAAAAACGUACCUACCCUUACGGUGACAAUUCGUCAAGC